This 497-nucleotide ribosomal RNA is filed under the name uncultured bacterium. RNAcentral describes it as "partial 16S ribosomal RNA". It matches the Rfam family "Bacterial small subunit ribosomal RNA", at positions 28 to 507 of the family's 1533-position model. The record is from RNAcentral.
GAUGAACGCUGGCGGCGUGCCUAAUACAUGCAAGUCGAGCGAACAGACGAGGAGCUUGCUCCGCUGACGUUAGCGGCGGACGGGUGAGUAACACGUGGAUAACCUACCUAUAAGACUGGGAUAACUUCGGGAAACCGGAGCUAAUACCGGAUAAGAUAUUGAACCGCAUGGUUCAAUAGUGAAAGACGGUUGUUCUGUCACUUAUAGAUGGAUCCGCGCCGCAUUAGCUAGUUGGUAAGGUAACGGCUUACCAAGGCAACGAUGCGUAACCGACCUGAGAGGGUGAUCGGCCACACUGGGACUGAGACACGGUCCAGACUCCUACGGGAGGCCGCAGUAGGGAAUCUUACGCAAUGGGCGAAAGCCUGACGGAGCAACGCCGCGUGAGUGAUGACGGUCUUCGGAUCGUAAAACUCUGUUAUUAGGGAAGAACAAAUGUGUAAAUAACUAUGCACGUCUUGACGGUACCUAAUAAGAAAGCCACGGCUAACUACGUG